AGUGACAGAGUUAGGGAGGGAAGGGGUGACUAGUGACAGAGUGAGGAAGGGGGUGAUUAGGGACAGAGUGAGGGAGGUUGUGACUAGUGACUAGUGACAGUCACCACCUCCCUCACUUUGUCACUAGUCACCACCUCCCUCACUCUGUCACCAGUCAUCCCCUCACUUUGUCACCAGUCAUCCCCUCACUCUGUCACUAGUCACCCCUUCCCUCACUCUGUCACCUGUCACCCCUUCACUCUAGUGACA
Non-coding RNA from Pelobates cultripes (western spadefoot toad), 249 nucleotides. Lineage: Eukaryota; Metazoa; Chordata; Amphibia; Anura; Pelobatidae. The record is from the annotation of a GenBank genome assembly.